This 479-nucleotide ribosomal RNA is filed under the name uncultured bacterium. RNAcentral's name for it is "partial 16S ribosomal RNA". It matches the Rfam family "Bacterial small subunit ribosomal RNA", at positions 28 to 507 of the family's 1533-position model. The record is from RNAcentral.
GAUGAACGCUGGCGGCGUGCUUAUCACAUGCAAGUCGAACGAAGCACCUUGAUUCGAUUCUUCGGAUGAAGAUCUUGGUGACUGAGUGGCGGACGGGUGAGUAACGCGUGGGUAACCUGCCUCAUACAGGGGGAUAACAGUUAGAAAUGACUGCUAAUACCGCAUAAGACCACAGCACCGCAUGGUGCAGGGGUAAAAACUCCGGUGGUAUGAGAUGGACCCGCGUCUGAUUAGGUAGUUGGUGGGGUAACGGCCUACCAAGCCGACGAUCAGUAGCCGACCUGAGAGGGUGACCGGCCACAUUGGGACUGAGACACGGCCCAAACUCCUACGGGAGGCAGCAGUGGGGAAUAUUGCACAAUGGGGGAAACCCUGAUGCAGCGACGCCGCGUGAGCGAUGAAGUAUUUCGGUAUGUAAAGCUCUAUCAGCAGGGAAGAAAAUGACGGUACCUGACUAAGAAGCACCGGCUAAAUACGUG